This 147-nucleotide small nuclear RNA is filed under the name Paramormyrops kingsleyae. RNAcentral's name for it is "U1 spliceosomal RNA (ENSPKIG00000025170.1)". It matches the Rfam family "U1 spliceosomal RNA". Rfam says of the family: U1 is a small nuclear RNA (snRNA) component of the spliceosome (involved in pre-mRNA splicing). Lineage: Eukaryota; Metazoa; Chordata; Actinopteri; Osteoglossiformes; Mormyridae. The record is from RNAcentral.
AUACUUACCUGGCAGGGGAGAUACCAUGAUCAAGAAGGUGGUUCACCCAGGGCGAGGCUCAGCCAUUGCACUCCGGUUGUGCUGACCCCUGCGAAUGGGGGUGCGCCGUACGGUAGUGCAAUUUGUAAACGAUGCGAUUGGUCCAGA